UCCUACGGGAGGCAGCAGUAGGGAAUCUUCCACAAUGGGCGAAAGCCUGAUGGAGCAACGCCGCGUGAGUGAUGAAGGCCUUCGGGUUGUAAAACUCUGUCAUUCGGGACGAACCGGAGUCUGAGGAAAUGCAGACUCUCUGACGGUACCGGAGGAGGAAGCCCCGGCUAACUACGUGCCAGCAGCCGCGGUAAUACGUAGGGGGCAAGCGUUGUCCGGAUUCACUGGGCGUAAAGCGCGCGCAGGCGGUGAUGUAAGUCUGAGGUGAAAACCCGAAGCUCAACUUCGGGACUGCCUCGGAUACUGCGUCACUUGAGGAUAGGAGAGGCAAGGGGAAUUCCACGUGUAGCGGUGAAAUGCGUAGAGAUGUGGAGGAACACCUGUGGCGAAGGCGCCUUGCUGGCCUAUUUCUGACGCUGAGGCGCGAAAGCGUGGGGAGCAAACAGGAUUAGAUACCCUGGUAGUCCACGCUGUAAACGAUGAGUGCUAGGUGUAGGUGGGCUCAUACCCAUCUGUGCCGAAGCUAACGCAUUAAGCACUCCGCCUGGGGAGUACGGUCGCAAGACUGAAACUCAAAUGAAUUGACGG
This 588-nucleotide ribosomal RNA is filed under the name uncultured bacterium. Its description in RNAcentral is "bacterial SSU rRNA". It matches the Rfam family "Bacterial small subunit ribosomal RNA", at positions 337 to 916 of the family's 1533-position model. The record is from RNAcentral.